GAGCAAACGACGAGCGAUGGUCGGGCGGCUUUCGCCUGGAAAUCGAUAACGAGUCGGAUCCGCGCGCGCGAACGGACAACACAGUGCGCCGAACUGGCCUGAUCAGUGCCGACAGAGAGCCGGAACUUCGCACGCACCAUUAAGAAGGUACAAUAUGCGCAAGAAAGAUAUCGCUGACUCGCAUCGUCGUGACUCCGCAAAUCGGAUCGGAUCUAUCAUGCGAGGUCGCUAUGGAGGACAACUAAAUUUUUACGGAGACAUUUGACGACACCAAAGUCGCGAUGGAGAACGAGCGUCACAAGUAAGCUGCUCGGAGGGAGAGAGACGCCGGAGGGAGAGGAUAAGAAAAGCUCCGAUCGGCAGUCCUCCACUUUUCACUUUUGCAAGACUCGCCGAUGCAAAUCCUUCAUUUCUUUUAUCAUUAUUACAAUCACGCGCGACAAAUAGUUCUAUCUAAUUUUUUACAAACACCGCGUGUUUUUUAUUUCGCGGAAAUACACACAUUCCUUCCUUCCUUCCUUCAAUAUAUGGCUACAGGCCUCUAUAAGAGUAAUGCCCCUACGCCAGUUUCCGAUUAAUGAUAUAACUCGAGAGCAAAGUCUUGGAAAUUUCCAAGACACGAUCCAAAAAAAUCACAAGGUCCGAACAUGUUCGAACACGUCUUGUCGUAAAUACACACAUUCGAAAGUGCAUACUGAUAUCUACAAGUGUGUUUCUAACAAAGUCGCGGAACAAUCGCACAUAUAUAAUAACGCAGAUUAUCAACCUCUAUCAUUCUGCUCUCUUUUCAUGGAUAAAGUCGAAGCGACAAUAGCGAUAGCAUCAAUAGGGAUCGAUGCUAUCGGAAUUCUUGAAGAACUUUAUCGUCCAGAACUUCAAGCUUUAGCCGGAAUCACUUUGUGAUUGAAACUUUGUGAUUUCGCGGCGCGAGUCGACGAAAGAAAAAAAUAUCGUUUAGUUAUACUAAAGAAAAAAAUUACUUGUAAAUUCAUUUGUGAGGAUAUAAAUUUGAUUUUUAUGAAAUGAAAUAAUAUAUUAUGAUAAUUUAUGAAAUAAUUAUAUUAUCACAAUAUAUACACUAUCCACACAGAGUGAAAUGAUGUUCAUUUCUGUAAAUAAGCCUUGUAUCCUCCACAAGUUAAUUUUCAAGUAUUCUUUUUUCUCGGCGCAGAAUCAAGGCUAAUUAGUAUAAUAAUCGAUGUAUACGAGGAGAAUACUAUAACUUUCUUAUAAAAACUUCUUCAAUUUUGAUGAUGCAGAAAUAGGAUGCAGAGUUUAUUCUGCCAAGAAACAUAAAUUAUUUAACAAUAAGACUCCUAAAAUACAUAAAUAUAAUGUGUACGAAAAGAAGAGAUACAUAAAUUGAGGCAAAGAAUGAGGGGGGACGGAGAGGUUGACAUAUUUCCCGGCUACAAAAUUCUACAGUAACUUUUUGUUACAAGAUUCUCUUCGUGCAAGUAGCUCUAAUCUCGUCGAAUGACUCACCAAUAACUUGAAUUCGAUUUAACUGGAAGUCGCGGUAUAUAAGCGUUUGUGAAAUUAUCCUCUCGUCCCAUCGGUCAAAGUCCACUUCUUAAGUGAUUUUUGGGUGUACGACAAACAACCGAUUGCGAACUGCUGCUCGCGGUAUUGGAGGGGAUCGCGCGAUCGCGCUGUGGCAAAGCCGUGGCAAUGGUGUCACGGUAAAGUCAUUGCUGCUAAUGUCGUACUUUCUACGAACGAUGACCAAGACCGAAAGGCGGGACACGUGCCCCGCGUGAAAUUGCGCCGCGACGCAAUCCUUUCCGAAUUCAUCCCGCAGGGGUAAAUUCACCUUGCGCGUUCCACGCGCAUGUGAUACAGUUUUACACUCGACGUUCGCACUUUAUCCUUUCGGGAUCUCGUUGCGAUCCAUCGCAAAUUGAUUUUGCGAUUUAAACCGCACAGACAGGAGAGAAUAAUAUAGCUUCUUUUCGAUGAAAUUCCUUUCAAUUCUAUCGUAUUUUUUAGUAGAAUAAACCGUCAAUAAAUCGUCUGUUUUUUAAAGAAUACAGGAAAGUAAUAAUAAAUAAGUACAAAUAUUAAAGUAAUGAAUAAAAAAUAAUAAAUAAAAAUAAAUAAAAAUAAA
Long non-coding RNA from Odontomachus brunneus, 2107 nucleotides. RefSeq lists it as uncharacterized. The record is from RefSeq and is a predicted model, not a curated record. NCBI's taxonomy places the organism in Eukaryota, Metazoa, Arthropoda, Insecta, Hymenoptera, Formicidae. The transcript is spliced from 3 exons.